AUUGAACGCUGGCGGCAGGCCUAACACAUGCAAGUCGAACGGUAACAGGAAGCAGCUUGCUGCUUCGCUGACGAGUGGCGGACGGGUGAGUAAUGUCUGGGAAACUGCCUGAUGGAGGGGGAUAACUACUGGAAACGGUAGCUAAUACCGCAUAAUGUCGCAAGACCAAAGAGGGGGACCUUCGGGCCUCUUGCCAUCGGAUGUGCCCAGAUGGGAUUAGCUAGUAGGUGGGGUAACGGCUCACCUAGGCGACGAUCCCUAGCUGGUCUGAGAGGAUGCCCCGCCACACUGGAACUGAGACACGGUCCAGACUCCUACGGGAGGCAGCAGUGGGGAAUAUUGCACAAUGGGCGCAAGCCUGAUGCAGCCAUGCCGCGUGUAAGAAGAAGGCCUUCGGGUUGUAAAGUACUUUCAGCGGGGAGGAAGGCGAUAAGGUUAAUAACCUUGUCGAUUGACGUUAUCCGCAGAAGAAGCACCGGCUAACUCCGUGCCAGCCGCCGCCGUAA
Molecule: ribosomal RNA, 506 nt
Filed under: uncultured bacterium
Lineage: Bacteria
Description: partial 16S ribosomal RNA
Rfam family: Bacterial small subunit ribosomal RNA
Source: RNAcentral